CCUACGGGAGGCUGCAGUCGAGAAUCAUUCACAAUGGGGGAAACCCUGAUGGUGCGACGCCGCGUGGGGGAAUGAAGGUCUUCGGAUUGUAAACCCCUGUCAUGUGGGAGCAAAUUAAAAAGAUAGUACCACAAGAGGAAGCGACGGCUAACUCUGUGCCAGCAGCCGCGGUAAUACGGAGGUCUCAAGCGUUGUUCGGAAUCACUGGGCGUAAAGCGUGCGUAGGCUGUUUCGUAAGUCGUGUGUGAAAGGCGCGGGCUCAACCCGCGGACGGCACAUGAUACUGCGAGACUAGAGUAAGGGAGGUGGAACCGGAAUUCUCGGGGUAGCAGUGAAAUGCGUAGAUAUCGAGAGGAACACUCGUGGCGAAGGCGGGUUCCUGGACAUUAACUGACGCUGAGGCACGAAGGCCAGGGGAGCGAAAGGGAUUAGAUACCCCAGUAGUC
Molecule: ribosomal RNA, 446 nt
Filed under: uncultured bacterium
Lineage: Bacteria
Description: partial 16S ribosomal RNA
Rfam family: Bacterial small subunit ribosomal RNA
Source: RNAcentral